UUUUAAUUCUUAAAAUUAAAAUUUAUAGAUUUUCUACGAUUUUUUAUUUAUUUUUUCUACAGAUUUAAAAUAUGUAGAUAUCAUGCGAAUUUUUCUUCAAUUUUUUUUAUUGAUUUUCACAUUAAAAAUUAAAAUUAAAAUGAUUCUAGGUUUUUUUAUAAAAAUAACCCACUUUUUCAAGGAAAUUCCCAAAAUACCCCUGAUUUCAAAAAAAAUCCCAAUAUACCCCACUUUUAGGAGGAGUCGCCAA
RNAcentral lists this long non-coding RNA (250 nucleotides) under Lathyrus oleraceus (garden pea). Its description in RNAcentral is "Pisum sativum (pea) long non-coding RNA (PSAT_LNC008055)". The record is from RNAcentral. Lineage: Eukaryota; Viridiplantae; Streptophyta; Magnoliopsida; Fabales; Fabaceae.